UUUUUUUUUUUUUUUUUUUUUUUUUUUUUUUUUGUCAAAUCUCUAAUAGACUCAAAUAAGCUAAAAACUCUCCAAAAAAAACUCUUUACUAAACAAGGCCUUUGUCUAAUUUUCGUAAUAUUUAAUUUAGUUACAUCUAAAAUUCUAUUUAAAUUGAUCUAUUGAUUUUGGAGUACUCUCUUUGUCUUAUAAUCUAGUGUAUACUUUGUAUAUAUUUCAUUUUAUGCGAUCUUUAUUGUUUAAGUUAAGACACUUCUUUGACCAUCAGUGUAUAUAUAUACAUAUAUAUCAACACAACAACCACUGGCCACAACAACCUCAGUAACCCACCGACGCGAGCAACAACACCGACAACAAACCCAUCGAGCAGCCCCCAACACAGCAAACCACGGAGCAUCACCGACUCACCGAGCAAGCACCACCAAGCAACAACGCAAUACCAACAACAACACCGACGAGGUGACACCCACCGAGCACCAUCAGCGUUUUUCAGAUCUAAUUUUAUUUUAGGCUUCAGAUGCCGUGGUGGCAGAAUAGCAGUGUGGCGUUUAUCUUAUCAUGGGUUUUGUAUGCCUGUAGUGUGGUUUCAAGAUGUUCACCAGGGCUGCUGCACAGAAGCUUUUCAGAAAUGUUCGAUUAAAAAGGAAGUGGAAGAGAUAUUUGAGCUUUUGAAGUCAACUUGGCGUGUAUUGGGAAUAACAGAGACCAUAUGAUAAACCUAUUAGCUCAAAUGGUAGAUGCAAAUGCAUAGGGGAUGUAGGUUCAAUUCCUACAUAGGUUAUUUCUAUAAACAAAAUUAAUUAAAAAAAAUAAUCAAAUUCAUACUAAAUUAUAUGAGCAUAUAAAUGGUUUGAAAUGAUUUAUAACUA
Chenopodium quinoa (quinoa) is the source of this 869-nucleotide long non-coding RNA. RefSeq lists it as uncharacterized. NCBI's taxonomy places the organism in Eukaryota, Viridiplantae, Streptophyta, Magnoliopsida, Caryophyllales, Amaranthaceae. The record is from RefSeq and is a predicted model, not a curated record. The transcript is spliced from 3 exons.